AUACGGAGGUAGCAAGCGUUAUUCGGAAUCACUGGGCGUAAAGGACGCGUAGGCGGGUUUGUAAGUCAGGUGUGAAAUCCUACAGCUCAACUGUAGUACUGCACUUGAAACUACAGACCUAGAGUAUGGAAGGGGCAGAUGGAAUUAGUGGUGUAGGGGUAAAAUCCGUAGAUAUCACUAGGAAUACCGAAAGCGAAGGCGAUCUGCUGGGACAUUACUGACGCUGAGGCGUGAAAGCGUGGGGAGCAAACAGGAUUAGAAACCCCAGUAGUCC
RNAcentral lists this ribosomal RNA (274 nucleotides) under uncultured bacterium. RNAcentral describes it as "partial 16S ribosomal RNA". It matches the Rfam family "Bacterial small subunit ribosomal RNA", at positions 523 to 796 of the family's 1533-position model. The record is from RNAcentral.